AGAACGAACGCUGGCGGCAGGCCUCAAACAUGCAAGUCUAGGGGGUGUAGCAAUACAUCACCGGCGGACGGGUGCGUAACGCGUGGGAAUGUACCUAUUGGUUCGGAACAACUGAGGGAAACUUCAGCUAGUACCGAAUAAGCCCGCGAGGGGAAAGAUUUCUCGCCAAUAGAUCAGCCCGCGUCCGAUUAGCUAGUUGGUGGGGUUAUGGCCUACCAAGGCGACGAUCGGUAGCUGUUCUGAGAGGAAGAUCAGCCACACUGGGACUGAGACACGGCCCAGACUCCUACGGGAGGCAGCAGUUGGGAAUCUUGGACAAUGGGGGAAACCCUGAUCCAGCCAUGCCGCGUGAGUGAUGAAGGCCUUCGGGUUGUAAACUCUUUCGACGGGGACGAUAAUGACGGUACCCGUAGAAGAAGCUCCGGCUAACUUCGUGCCAGCAGCCGC
This 447-nucleotide ribosomal RNA is filed under the name uncultured bacterium. Its description in RNAcentral is "SSU rRNA". It matches the Rfam family "Bacterial small subunit ribosomal RNA", at positions 26 to 518 of the family's 1533-position model. The record is from RNAcentral.